AACUUUAUAUUCAACUAUGAUUUUAAAUUGCAAAUUUAAAGGUAAAUUAUAUAAUUUUAAAGUUU
Molecule: transfer RNA, 65 nt
Filed under: Thesaurus albertalleni
Lineage: Eukaryota; Metazoa; Arthropoda; Insecta; Coleoptera; Cucujidae
Description: tRNA-Cys
Source: RNAcentral